RNAcentral lists this ribosomal RNA (411 nucleotides) under uncultured bacterium. Its description in RNAcentral is "partial 16S ribosomal RNA". It matches the Rfam family "Bacterial small subunit ribosomal RNA", at positions 355 to 755 of the family's 1533-position model. The record is from RNAcentral.
UGGGGAAUUUUGGACAAUGGGCGAAAGCCUGAUCCAAGCAAUGCCGCGUGUGUGAAGAAGGCCUUCGGGUUGUAAAGCACUUUUGUCCGGGAAAGAAAUCCUUGGCUCUAAUACAGUCGGGGGAUGACGGUACCGGAAAGAAUAAGCACCGGCUAACUACGUGCCAGCAGCCGCGGUAAUACGUAGGGUGCAAGCGUUAUCGGAAUUACUGGGCGUAAAGCGUGCGCAGGCGGUUUGCUAAGACCGAUGUGAAAUCCCCGGGCUCAACCUGGGAACUGCAUUGGUGACUGGCAGGCUAGAGUAUGGCAGAGGGGGGUAGAAUUCCACGUGUAGCAGUGAAAGUGCGUAGAGAUGUGGAGGAAUACCGAUGGCGAAGGCAGCCCCCUGGGCCAAUACUGACGCUCAUGCACG